Molecule: ribosomal RNA, 378 nt
Filed under: uncultured bacterium
Lineage: Bacteria
Description: bacterial SSU rRNA
Rfam family: Bacterial small subunit ribosomal RNA
Source: RNAcentral
CACGUAGGCACCAAGCGUUGUCCGGAUUUAUUUGGCGUAAAGAGCUCGUAGGCGGUUCAGUAAGUCGGGUGUGAAAACUCUUGGCUCAACCCAGAGACGCCACCCGAUACUGCUGUGACUUGAGUACGGUAGGGGAGUGGGGAAUUCCUGGUGUAGCGGUGAAAUGCGCAGAUAUCAGGAGGAACACCAGUGGCGAAGGCGCCACUCUGGGCCGUAACUGACGCUGAGGAGCGAAAGCGUGGGUAGCAAACAGGAUUAGAUACCCUGGUAGUCCACGCCGUAAACGUUGGGCACUAGGUGUGGGUCUCAACCAACGAGAUCCGCGCCGUCGCUAACGCAUUAAGUGCCCCGCCUGGGGAGUACGGUCGCAAGACUAAA